Molecule: long non-coding RNA, 203 nt
Filed under: Malus domestica (apple)
Lineage: Eukaryota; Viridiplantae; Streptophyta; Magnoliopsida; Rosales; Rosaceae
Description: long non-coding RNA (MDOM_LNC012691)
Source: RNAcentral
UCAAAACUGCCUGUGCAGGUCAGCUGACUUUGGAAGCAAUUUUCAAACAGCUCAGAAUGAAUUAGAGAAUGAGCCUUAUAUGCUUAGAAAGCUACGGAUGUCUAUUUUCUGGAGCAUUUCGCGGAUUGUUAAUAGCAUUUUUGUAGAAGAAGUUAUGGCCGUUUUAACACUGAAAGGUUUCCAAGACGCUGUGCAGUUUGUAA